This is a long non-coding RNA of Ictalurus punctatus (channel catfish), 460 nucleotides long. NCBI's taxonomy places the organism in Eukaryota, Metazoa, Chordata, Actinopteri, Siluriformes, Ictaluridae. The record is from Ensembl.
GGGUUAGGGUUAGCGGUUAGGGUUGGGGUUUGGGUUAGCGGUUAGGGUUAGGGGGUUAGGGUUAGGUUUUAGGGUUAAGGUUAAGGUUAGGGUUAGGUUUUAGGGUUAAGGUUAGGGUUAGGUUUUAGGGUUAAGGUUAAGGUUAGGGUUAGGUUUUAGGGUUAAGGUUAAGGUUAGGGUUAGGUUUUAGGGUUUGGGUUAAGGUUAGGGUUAGGUUUUAGGGUUAGGGUUAGGUUUUAGGGUUAAGGUUAGGUUUUAGGGUUAAGGUUAAGGUUAGGUUUUUAGGGUUAAGGUUAAGGUUAGGGUUAGGUUUUAGGGUUAGGGUUAGGUUUUAGGGUUAAGGUUAGGUUUUAGGGUUAAGGUUAAGGUUAGGGUUAGGUUUUAGGGUUAAGGUUAGGGUUAGGUUUUAGGGUUAGGGUUAAGGUUAGGGUUAGGUUUUAGGGUUAAGGUUAAGGUUAGG